CGGACGGGUGAGGAAUACAUCGGAAUCUACUCUGUCGUGGGGGAUAACGUAGGGAAACUUACGCUAAUACCGCAUACAACCUACGGGUGAAAGCAGGGGAUCUUCGGACCUUGCGCGAUUGAAUGAGCCGAUGUCGGAUUAGCUAGUUGGCGGGGUAAAGGCCCACCAAGGCGACGAUCCGUAGCUGGUCUGAGAGGAUGAUCAGCCACACUGGAACUGAGACACGGUCCAGACUCUAACGGGAGGCAGCAGUGGGGAAUAUUGGACAAUGGGCGCAAGCCUGAUCCAGCCAUACCGCGUGGGUGAAGAAGGCCUUCGGGUUGUAAAGCCCUUUUGUUGGGAAAGAAAUCCAGCUGGCUAAUACCCGGUUGGGAUGACGGUACCCAAAGAAUAAGCACCGGCUAACUUCGUGCCAGCAGCCGCGGUAAUACGAAGGGUGCAAGCGUUACUCGGAAUUACUGGGCGUAAAGCGUGCGUAGGUGGUCGUUUAAGUCCGUUGUGAAACCCCUGGGCUCACCCUGGGAACUGCAGUGGGAUACUGGGCCACUAAAGU
RNAcentral lists this ribosomal RNA (553 nucleotides) under Stenotrophomonas sp. Its description in RNAcentral is "bacterial SSU rRNA". It matches the Rfam family "Bacterial small subunit ribosomal RNA", at positions 99 to 647 of the family's 1533-position model. Lineage: Bacteria; Pseudomonadati; Pseudomonadota; Gammaproteobacteria; Lysobacterales; Lysobacteraceae. The record is from RNAcentral.